RNAcentral lists this ribosomal RNA (501 nucleotides) under uncultured fungus. RNAcentral describes it as "eukaryotic LSU rRNA". The stretch from base 193 to 346 matches the Rfam family "5.8S ribosomal RNA". The record is from RNAcentral. Lineage: Eukaryota; Fungi.
UUAACGAAUUGUGAUUGGGAGGACUGAUGCUGGUGGCUUUUGGCCUCAUCGUGCUCGUCUCCCGACCAACUAUCUUUAUCCUUUGACACCCGUGCACCUUUGUGAGGGUCGUGAUUUAUCCGCCUUCUUUUUACAAAACCGAAGAAUCGUAUGGAAUGUGAUUGUGCCGCAAGGCCUUAAUGUGUAUAAUACAACUUUUAACAACGGAUCUCUUGGCUCUCGCAUCGAUGAAGAACGCAGCGAAAUGCGAUAAGUAAUGUGAAUUGCAGAAUUCAGUGAAUCAUCGAAUCUUUGAACGCACCUUGCGCUCCCUGGUAUUCCUAGGAGCACGCCUGUUCGAGUGUCGUGAAUUUCUCAAGCUUCUUAUUUAGCUUGGUAUUGGGCGAUUGCCGUGACCUUUUUUUCUAAAGGAAUGGCUGGCCUUAAACGAAUUAGCUGAUCCUUGCGUGUGUUUGGUUCUACUCGGCGUGAUAAAUAUUCGUGAUCGCGGGAGGACAUCUU